UCACGAUACGACAUUGCAUUUCUGAAGAGGGAAGAAGAAAUCAACAUGCAAAUUCAAUUCCAUGGUUUUGGAAGUCCCAUUGAGAACACGAUUCAUUUGCGCCAGCAUAAUGCUCUGACCGAGAAAGAAUUGAAGUUUCCACUUGGAAGAAAGAUUCACAUCAAGUUGACUGGUCAAGGAAAUGGGACACUGACUAACCAUACAAUUAGACUGUUUUGAUGAGGAACUUAAAGAUCACGAGUCCCGUCCGUUUGACUCACAGUUUGGUACCAUAGGUUGAUACGAUCUUCGUUGGAGAAGGAAAAGGGAUGUUCCAGAUACAGAAAAUAGUCAAACCAUUUACUACAAAGUCCGUUUCUGGGUGGAGUUAGUGGAACCGAAAAAGAUGUCUCCCUCACAGCGUUUGUGACACAAGAAUUGCAUCGUUCCUUGGCGGCCUUUCAACAGAAGAAUAUUCAGAGAUUUCACGAGUGAUAAGAAUAUUCUGAUGUUGGUUCCUGGAAAGCCUCCAUUGUUGGAGGACGAGAAGCCGUAUCCAAUUGAAGCAGCAUAGGCUUUUGCGAUGACUGUGGAAACCACUGCUUAUGCCUUGCUUCAAGCAUUGUCAAGGAAUGAUAUUGACUAUGCAACACCGAUUGCGAGGUGGCUAA
Long non-coding RNA from Stegostoma tigrinum, 650 nucleotides. RefSeq lists it as uncharacterized. Lineage: Eukaryota; Metazoa; Chordata; Chondrichthyes; Orectolobiformes; Stegostomatidae. The transcript has 5 exons. The record is from RefSeq and is a predicted model, not a curated record.